This 468-nucleotide ribosomal RNA is filed under the name uncultured bacterium. RNAcentral describes it as "partial 16S ribosomal RNA". It matches the Rfam family "Bacterial small subunit ribosomal RNA", at positions 28 to 507 of the family's 1533-position model. The record is from RNAcentral.
GACGAACGCUGGCGGCGUGCUUAACACAUGCAAGUCGAACGGAAAGGCCCUGCUUUUGUGGGGUGCUCGAGUGGCGAACGGGUGAGUAACACGUGAGUAACCUGCCCUUGACUUUGGGAUAACUUCAGGAAACUGGGGCUAAUACCGGAUAGGAGCUCCUGCUGCAUGGUGGUGGUUGGAGAGUUUCGGCGGUUGGGGCUGGACUCGCGGCUUAUCAGCUUGUUGGUGGGGUAGUGGCUUACGAAGGGUUUGACGGGUAGCCGGCCUGAGAGGGUGACCGGCCACCUGGGGACUGAGAUACGGACCAGAAUGCUACGGGAGGCAGCAGUGGGGAAUCUUGCACAAUGGGCGGAAGCCUGAUGCAGCAACGCCGCGUGCGGGAUGACGGCCUUCGGGUUGUAAACAGAUUUCGCCUGUGCCGAAGCGUGAGUGACGGUAAUGAGUAAAGAAGCAACGGCUAACUACGUG